RNAcentral lists this ribosomal RNA (694 nucleotides) under uncultured bacterium. RNAcentral describes it as "SSU rRNA". It matches the Rfam family "Bacterial small subunit ribosomal RNA", at positions 383 to 1079 of the family's 1533-position model. The record is from RNAcentral.
CUGAACCAGCCACGUCGCGUGAAGGAGACGGCCCUACGGGUUGUAAACUUCUUUGUAAGGGAAUAAAGUGCAGUACGCGUACUGGUUUUGCAUGUACCUUACGAAUAAGGAUCGGCUAACUCCGUGCCAGCAGCCGCGGUAAUACGGAGGAUCCAAGCGUUAUCCGGAUUUAUGGGUUUAAAGGGUGCGCAGGCGGAAGAUUAAGUCGGCGGUGAAAUUUUGCAGCUCAACUGUUAAAAGUGCCUUCGAAACUGGUUUUCUUGAGUGUGGAUGAAGUAGGCGGAAUUUGUGGUGUAGCGGUGAAAUGCAUAGAUAUCACGAGGAACUCCGAUUGCGAAGGCAGCUUACUAAGCCAUAACUGACGCUCAGGCACGAAGGCGUGGGGAUCAAACAGGAUUAGAUACCCUGGUAGUCCACGCAGUAAACGAUGAUUACUAGCUGUUUGCGAUAUACAGUAAGCGGCUGAGCGAAAGCGUUAAGUAAUCCACCUGGGGAGUACGUUCGCAAGAAUGAAACUCAAAGGAAUUGACGGGGGCCCGCACAAGCGGAGGAACAUGUGGUUUAAUUCGAUGAUACGCGAGGAACCUUACCCGGGCUUGAAAUGCAUCUGACAGGAGCAGAGACGCUCUCUCCCUUCGGGGCAGAUGUGUAGGUGCUGCAUGGUUGUCGUCAGCUCGUGCCGUGAGGUGUCGGC